Molecule: non-coding RNA, 135 nt
Organism: Triticum aestivum (bread wheat)
Lineage: Eukaryota; Viridiplantae; Streptophyta; Magnoliopsida; Poales; Poaceae
Source: Rfam
GAUGUACUCCCUCCGUCCGGAAAUACUUGUCAUCAAAAUGGAUGAAAGGGGAUGUAUCUAAAUGUAUUUUAGUUCUAGAUACAUCUCUUUUCAUCCAUUUUGAUGAAAAGUAUUUUUCGACGGAGGGAAUAUUGC